RNAcentral lists this ribosomal RNA (378 nucleotides) under uncultured cyanobacterium. RNAcentral describes it as "bacterial SSU rRNA". It matches the Rfam family "Bacterial small subunit ribosomal RNA", at positions 376 to 770 of the family's 1533-position model. Lineage: Bacteria; Bacillati; Cyanobacteriota. The record is from RNAcentral.
CGAAAGCCUGACGGAGCAAGACCGCGUGAGGGAGGAAGGCUCUUGGGUUGUAAACCCCUUUUCUCAGGGAAGAAACCUGACGGUACCUGAGGAAAAAGCCUCGGCUAACUCCGUGCCAGCAGCCGCGGUAAUACGGAGGAGGCAAGCGUUAUCCGGAAUUACUGGGCGUAAAGCGUCCGCAGGGGGCUCAUCAAGUCUGCUGUCAAAGGUCGGAGCUUAACUCCGGUUCGGCAGUGGAAACUGGUGGGCUAGAGGGCGACAGGGGUAGAGGGAAUUCCCAGUGUAGCGGUGAAAUGCGUAGAGAUUGGGAAGAACACCGGUGGCGAAAGCGCUCUACUGGGUCGCGCCUGACCCUCAGGGACGAAAGCUAAGGUAGCG